UACAGAGGGUGCGAGCGUUAAUCGGAAUUACUGGGCGUAAAGCGCACGUAGGCGGGUUGUUAAGUCAGGGGUGAAAUCCCGGAGCUCAACUCCGGAACUGCCUUUGAUACUGGCAACCUAGAGGCUGGAAGAGGUUAGUGGAAUUCCCAGUGUAGAGGUGAAAUUCGUAGAUAUUGGGAAGAACACCAGUGGCGAAGGCGGCUAACUGGUCCAGUACUGACGCUGAGGUGCGAAAGCGUGGGGAGCGAUCCGG
RNAcentral lists this ribosomal RNA (253 nucleotides) under uncultured bacterium. RNAcentral's name for it is "partial 16S ribosomal RNA". It matches the Rfam family "Bacterial small subunit ribosomal RNA", at positions 524 to 776 of the family's 1533-position model. The record is from RNAcentral.